Molecule: non-coding RNA, 223 nt
Organism: Paramuricea clavata
Lineage: Eukaryota; Metazoa; Cnidaria; Anthozoa; Malacalcyonacea; Plexauridae
Source: the annotation of a GenBank genome assembly
CGACGGCCUUUGCGUAUGAAAUAACUAACAAGACAGCAUAUAUUUAAAUUUCAUUGUAUGUUUAAUAUUGAUUGCCUUUUUUAUAGACCUUAUUCAUAAAUCGUGACGAGGCCUCGUAUCCUAGGGUACGGGGAAAAAACGCGGGAAAACAAGCGAAAACUGCUUGACAAGCCAAAUUCAAAUGCUAUAUAUCGACUUCAACGGCUUGUUUCUUGUUGUUUUU